UAUCGGAUUGAUACUAAGCCAUGCGAGUCAUUGUAGUAAUACAAGGCAGACGGCUCAGUAACGCGUAGUCAACCUAACCUAUGGACGGGGAUAAUCUCGGGAAACUGAGCAUAAUACCCGAUAGAACAUUAUGCCUGGAAUGGUUUAUGUUCCAAAUGAUUUAUCGCCGUAGGAUGGGACUGCGGCCUAUCAGUUUGUUGGUGAGGUAAUGGCCCACCAAGACUAUUACAGGUACGGGCUCUGAGAGGAGUAGCCCGGAGAUGGGUACUGAGACACGGACCCAGGCCCUAUGGGGCGCAGCAGGCGAGAAAACUUUGCAAUGUGCGAAAGCACGACAAGGUUAAUCCGAGUGGUUUCUGCUAAAGGAACCUUUUGUCGGUCCUAGAAACACCGAUGAAUAAGGGGUGGGCAAGUUCUGGUGUCAGCCGCCGCGGUAAAACCAGCACCUCAAGUGGUCAGGAUGAUUAUUGGGCCUAAAGCAUCCGUAGCCGGCUCUGUAAGUUUUCGGUUAAAUCUGUACGCUCAACGUACAGGCUGCCGGGAAUACUGCAGAGCUAGGGAGUGGGAGAGGUAGACGGUACUCGGUAGGAAGGGGUAAAAUCCUUUGAUCUAUUGAUGACCACCUGUGGCGAAGGCGGUCUACCAGAACACGUCCGACGGUGAGGGAUGAAAGCUGGGGGAGCAAACCGGACUAGAUACCCGGGUAGUCCCAGCUGUAAACUAUGCAAACUCAGUGAUGCAUUGGCUUGUGGCCAAUGCAGUGCUGCAGGGAAGCCGUUAAGUUUGCCGCCUGGGAAGUACGUACGCAAGUAUGAAACUUAAAGGAAUUGGCGGGGGAGCACCACAAGGGGUGAAGCCUGCGGUUCAAUUGGAUUC
Molecule: ribosomal RNA, 876 nt
Filed under: uncultured archaeon
Lineage: Archaea
Description: bacterial SSU rRNA
Rfam family: Archaeal small subunit ribosomal RNA
Source: RNAcentral